This 253-nucleotide ribosomal RNA is filed under the name uncultured bacterium. RNAcentral's name for it is "partial 16S ribosomal RNA". It matches the Rfam family "Bacterial small subunit ribosomal RNA", at positions 524 to 776 of the family's 1533-position model. The record is from RNAcentral.
UACGAAGGGGGCUAGCGUUGUUCGGAAUUACUGGGCGUAAAGCGCACGUAGGCGGAUAUUUAAGUCAGGGGUGAAAUCCCAGAGCUCAACUCUGGAACUGCCUUUGAUACUGGGUAUCUCGAGUAUGGAAGAGGUGAGUGGAAUUCCGAGUGUAGAGGUGAAAUUCGUAGAUAUUCGGAGGAACACCAGUGGCGAAGGCGGCUCACUGGUCCAUUACUGACGCUGAGACGCGAAAGCGUGGGGAGCGAACAGG